This is a non-coding RNA of Carica papaya (papaya), 2813 nucleotides long. The record is from RefSeq and is a predicted model, not a curated record. NCBI's taxonomy places the organism in Eukaryota, Viridiplantae, Streptophyta, Magnoliopsida, Brassicales, Caricaceae.
CCUUUUAACGCAGUCUGAAUUUCUUUAUCUCCCCUUUAAAAGCAAACUGACCGUGCGAUUAGAUUAAAACCCCACAAAAGUUUUCCAAUUCUCCUCUUCAGACCACCUUCUUCCUUUCUUUCGUCUUUCUUUUACUUUCAAAAAGUUUUCAACGUUCUUUGUUUUCAGAUCUGGCCUUGCCCAGAGAGAAGGAGAGAGAUACAAGCACAAAAGAGAGAGAGAAAAAGGGGAAAAAGACAGAAACGAGGUCUGAAACCCCUCCAUUCUCUUCAAUGUGGAGAGGGAAAGAAAAGAAUAUCAGAAAGAGGUAAGGAAGAAGAUGGUAGAAAACAAAUUAGAAUGGUAAUCUUUCUAGCAUUCUAUUUCUUUUUCAGUUUCUUGAGAGCAAAGAAUCAAAUAGAGAAAGAAAAGAAGAACAAAGAAAGAAGGAAAAAAAAAGAAGAUCGAAAAGAAGAUAGAUAGGUUUCUCUUAAAGACCCAACACUGCCUAGUCAUUCUGUUAAAUUUCAAUCUCUCUUGUUCUCACAAGCCUUGCCCAGAGAGAAGUUGAGAAGUACGAGCAUAGCAGAGAGAGAAUAAGGGGAAAAAGACAGAAACGAGCAGACAUGGAUCUGGAACUCUCCAUUCUCUUCAAUGUGGAGAGGGAAAGAAAAGAAUAUCAGAAAGAGGUGAGGAAGAAGAUGAUAGAAAACAAAUUAGAAUGGUCAUCGUUUUACCAUUCUAUUUAUUUUUCAGUUUCUUGAGAGCAAAGAAUCAAAUAGAGAAAGAAAAGAAGAGCAAAGAAAGAAGGAAAAAAGAAGAUCGAAAAGAAGAUAUAUGGGUUUCUCUUAAAGACCCAACACUACUUAGUCAUUCUGUUAAAUUUCAAUCUCUCUUGUUCACAAGCCUUGCCCAGAGAGAAGGUGAGAAGUACGAGCAUAGCAGAGAGAGAAAAAGGGGAAAAAGACAGAAACGAGCAGACAUGGAUCUGCAAUAGUUGCUUUUUUCUUUCUUUUUCUUUUCUUUAAAAAGUUUUUUAAAAAACAAAUUGACCGUUGUGUUAUGCUUGUCGGCGUGCGCAGUCUGAAUUUCUUUAUUUUCCCUUUAAAAGCAAACUGACCGUGCGAUUAGAUUAAAACCCCACAAAAGUUUUCCAAUUCUCCUCUUCAGACCACCUUCUGCCUCUCUUUUACUUCCAAAAAGUUUUCGACGUUCUUUGUUUCCAGAUCUCGCCUUGCCCAGAGAGAAGGAGAGAGAUACAAGCAUAAAAGAGAGAGAGAAAAAGGGGAAAAAGACAGAAACGACCAGACAUGGAUCUGAAACCCCUCCAUUCUCUUCAAUGUGGAGAGGGAAAGAAAAGAAUAUCAGAAAGAGGUAAGGAAGAAGAUGAUAGAAAACAAAUUAGAAUGGUCAUCUUUCUAGCAUUCUAUUUCUUUUUCAGUUUCUUGAGAGCAAAGAAUCAAAUAGAGAAAGUAAAGAAGAACAAAGAAAGAAGGAAAAAAGAAGAUCGAAAGGAAGAUAGAUAGGUUUCUCUUAAAGACCCAACACUGCCUAGUCAUUCUGUUAAAUUUCAAUCUAUCUUGUUCACAAGCCUUGCCCAGAGAGAAGGUGAGAAAUACAAACAUAAUAGAGAGAGAAAAAGGGGAAAAAGACAGAAACGAGCAGACAUGGAUCUGAAACUCUCCGUUCUCUUCAAGGGAGAUCGAAAAGAAGAUCGAUGGGUUUCUCUUCAAGACCCAACACUACUUAGUCAUUCUGUUAAAUUUCGAUCUCUCUUGUUCACAAGCCUUGCCCAGAGAGAAGGUGAGAAGUCCGAGCAUAGCAGAGAGAGAAAAAGGGGAAAAAGACAGGAACGAGCAGACAUGGAUCUGAAACUCUCCAUUCUCUUCAAUGUGGAGAGGGAAAGAAAAGAAUAUCUGAAAGAGUUUACUGGGAGUAAAGAGCCAAAUAGAGAAGGAAAAGAAGAGCAAAGAAAGAGGGAAGAAGAAGAUCGAAAGAAGAGAUAUGUCUUUCUCUUCAAAGACCCAACGGUAGCCGGAGUAUGAUGAGAUGUUCCCUUCACUAUUCAGUGAUCUUCCUAAUAUAUUUCCUCCACACCUGUCGACAUGGGCUAGUGAACUUUGGCACUGAAAUAGCAUGAAAGCGCUCUUUUAGAUAUAGAUUAUGAGGAACCAGCGGAAUAAGAGGUUUGUCUUUCUUCUUUUAUCCUGUUUUUCAGUUUUGUUUUGUUUUUUUUCAUCCUAAUUUUUUCUUUAAUAUUUUUUAAUGGAGUUGGAGAGAGUUACAACGUUAUUUAUUUCUGCAUCAUUUAUCACAUUAAGUUUUAAAAAGUUUUUAGAUGGAGCUUCAUAAGGAGAUCUUCUCCAUGAUCAUUUUAGUUAAAAAGAUUUGUGGUUCGAUUUGAUGGCAGAUAAUGGUACUGGCGGGAACUCGUCUUCUUCGGUUGCAGGAGUACUUGGUCAGCAGUUUCUUUUGUUUCUUCAAUGUUUCUAAUAAGGUUGCAUUUACUUAAUUGGUAAUUAGGAUUUUGGAGCUAAACCAUACAGUGGUUUAGUACUAUGAGCUGCUGUGUUUUAUGAGCAAACCUGCGAAUACUGACUCUCUUACUUACGCUGGCAAGCUCUCAGUAUAGCCUACGGCGGGCUUUACGGUAUGUGAGCAACAAAAGAGGGAGAGUGUGUAUGAAGAAGAGAACCAGAACGGCAGAGGAAGAGAGUUCGUAUGAAAGUUUACCUCAUGAUUCUAUUAUCUGAUUAGUCAAUUAUUUUUAUUUUUUUACUAACUAAUCAAACAAUAAUUUUUAAAUUAUGCUACCAUAACUUAGUUGAAGGAUG